Molecule: transfer RNA, 79 nt
Filed under: Taron dubius
Lineage: Eukaryota; Metazoa; Mollusca; Gastropoda; Neogastropoda; Fasciolariidae
Description: tRNA-Asn
Source: RNAcentral
AUGAAAGCCAAAUAGGAGGUGCCUAACUGUUAAUUAGGAGAAUGUAAUUUAAUGUUACUCAUUUAGCUUCUUAUUUUGG